Molecule: ribosomal RNA, 262 nt
Filed under: uncultured bacterium
Lineage: Bacteria
Description: partial small subunit ribosomal RNA
Rfam family: Bacterial small subunit ribosomal RNA
Source: RNAcentral
AGAAUCAACGCUGGCGGCGUGCCUAACACAUGCAAGUCGAACGAGAAAGGGGAGCAAUCCCUGAGUAAAGUGGCGACCGGGUGAGUAACACGUGACUAACCUACCCUCGAGUGUGGAAUAACAUCGGGAAACCGAUGCUAAUACCGCAUAACAUCGGCGCUUUUAAGAGAUGCCGAUCAAAGGAGCAAUCCGCUUGAGGAGGGGGUCGCGGCUGAUUAGCUAGUUGGCGGGUAACGGCCCACCAAGGCGACGACGGAUAGCC